GAUGAACGCUGGCGGCGUGCCUAAUACAUGCAAGUCGAGCGAACGGACGAGAAGCUUGCUUCUCUGAUGUUAGCGGCGGACGGGUGAGUAACACGUGGAUAACCUACCUAUAAGACUGGGAUAACUUCGGGAAACCGUAGCUAAUACCGGAUAAUAUUUUGAACCGCAUGGUUCAAAAGUGAAAGACGGUCUUGCUGUCACUUAUAGAUGGAUCCGCGCUGCAUUAGCUAGUUGGUAAGGUAACGGCUUACCAAGGCAACGAUGCAUAGCCGACCUGAGAGGGUGAUCGGCCACACUGGAACUGAGACACGGUCCAGACUCCUACGGGGGGCAGCAGUAGGGAAUCUUCCGCAAUGGGCGAAAGCCUGACGGAGCAACGCCGCGUGAGUGAUGAAGGUCUUCGGAUCGUAAAACUCUGUUAUUAGGGAAGAACAUAUGUGUAAGUAACUGUGCACAUCUUGACGGUACCUAAUCAGAAAGCCACGGCUAACUACGUG
This 497-nucleotide ribosomal RNA is filed under the name uncultured bacterium. RNAcentral's name for it is "partial 16S ribosomal RNA". It matches the Rfam family "Bacterial small subunit ribosomal RNA", at positions 28 to 507 of the family's 1533-position model. The record is from RNAcentral.